AGCAGCCGCGGUAAUUCCAGCUCCAAUAGCGUAUAUUAAAGUUGCUGCAGUUAAAAAGCUCGUAGUUGAAUUUCGGGAUCAAUUUACUGGUCGUGCCUAUGGUACGUACUGGUUUUGUUGGUUCCUCCUUUCUGAGGAGCCGCGAUGUCAUUAACUUGGUGUCGCGGGGAAUCAGGACUGUUACUUUGAAAAAUUAGAGUGUUUAAAGCAGGCUAACGCUUGAAUACAUUAGCAUGGAAUAAUGAAAUAGGACGUUUGAUCCUAUUUUGUUGGUUUCUAGGGUCGACGUAAUGAUUAAUAGGGAUAGUUGGGGGCAUUAGU
This 321-nucleotide ribosomal RNA is filed under the name uncultured Glomeromycotina. RNAcentral's name for it is "SSU rRNA". It matches the Rfam family "Eukaryotic small subunit ribosomal RNA", at positions 569 to 895 of the family's 1831-position model. The record is from RNAcentral. Lineage: Eukaryota; Fungi; Glomeromycota.